RNAcentral lists this ribosomal RNA (252 nucleotides) under uncultured bacterium. Its description in RNAcentral is "partial 16S ribosomal RNA". It matches the Rfam family "Bacterial small subunit ribosomal RNA", at positions 524 to 776 of the family's 1533-position model. The record is from RNAcentral.
UACGUAGGGAGCGAGCGUUGUCCGGAAUUACUGGGUGUAAAGGGAGCGUAGGCGGGGAUGCAAGUUGGGUGUUAAAUCUACCGUCUCAACUGGUAGUCGCACUCAAAACUGCAGCUCUUGAGUGAAGUAGAGGCAGGCGGAAUUCCUAGUGUAGCGGUGAAAUGCGUAGAUAUUAGGAGGAACACCAGUGGCGAAGGCGGCCUGCUGGGCUUUUACUGACGCUGAGGCUCGAAAGUGUGGGGAGCAAACAGG